GGUCUCGCCGACCUAGUAUGUCUGUGCAAUUCCCAAAUAUAAAUCGAACGACCCUUCCAGAACCAAGCUAGGGUUUCGCCUCCCCCCACCCUCCCGCUCUCCCACCUCUCCUCCCGGCCACCGCGCGACCGCCGCGCCGCUCUCGCCGCCGCCGCCGCCGCCAUGGGGACGGAGCGGAAGCGGAAGGUGAGCCUCUUCGACGUGGUCGACGAGACCUCCGUCUCCGCCAAGCUCGGCCGCGGCGCCACUAACGGCGCCGCCGCCGCCGUGGGCGGGGCCAACCCCACCGUCAACCGGUGGAACGGGCGGCCAUACUCGGCGCGGUAUUUUGAGAUCCUCGAGAAGCGACGCACGCUCCCCGUGUGGCAGCAGAAGGAGGAGUUCCUUCGCGCCCUCCGCGACAACCAGGCCCUCAUUCUCGUCGGCGAAACGGGAAGCGGAAAGACCACUCAGAUCCCCCAAUUUGUACUUGAGACUGAAGGCCUGGGUAACCGUUCAAUGGUUGCCUGCACUCAGCCGCGGAGGGUUGCAGCAAUGUCAGUCUCCAGGCGUGUGGCUGAGGAAAUGGAUGUUACUAUUGGGGAGGAAGUGGGAUACAGCAUCCGUUUUGAGGAUUGCAGCAGCCACAAAACUGUUCUCAAGUAUUCUGAUCUAAUCAUGUUGUGUUGAACACUAUUGCUUCCUAUCAGAUAUUUGACAGAUGGUAUGCUUCUGAGAGAAGCAAUGGCAGACCCACUUUUAGAGAAGUACAAGGUGAUUGUUCUUGAUGAGGCUCAUGAGAGAACAUUGGCAACAGAUGUUCUGUUUGGGCUUCUGAAGGAGGUUCUAAAAAAUAGACCGGAUUUGAAGCUUGUCGUUAUGAGUGCUACCCUUGAAGCAGAGAAAUUCCAGGGUUACUUCAGUGGUGCACCAUUGAUGAAGGUACCAGGGAGGCUUCACCCGGUUGAAAUCUUCUAUACUCAAGAACCAGAAAGGGACUACCUAGAGGCUGCUAUCAGGACAGUUGUGCAAAUACACAUGUGUGAACCUGCUGGUGAUAUCCUUGUAUUCCUUACAGGAGAAGAGGAGAUUGAGGAUGCCUGUCGUAAAAUUAACAAGGAAAUUAAUAACAUGGGAGAUCAGGUUGGCCCUGUUAAAGUUGUGCCUUUGUAUUCUACGCUGCCUCCAGCCAUGCAGCAGAAGAUUUUUGAACCUGCUCCUGCCCCGUUGAAGGAAGGAGGCCCUCCUGGGAGAAAAAUUGUUGUGUCCACAAAUAUUGCUGAGACAUCCUUAACUAUAGAUGGUAUAGUUUAUGUGAUAGAUCCAGGGUUUUCCAAGCAGAAAGUUUACAACCCAAGGAUAAGGGUGGAAUCCCUCCUGGUGUCACCAAUUUCCAAGGCAAGUGCUCAUCAGAGAGCUGGUCGUGCUGGAAGAACGCAGCCUGGAAAGUGCUUCAGGCUAUACACUGAGAAGAGUUUUAAUGAGGAUUUGCAACCACAAACCUACCCAGAAAUUCUUAGGUCGAACCUGGCAAAUACAGUUCUUACCUUGAAGAAACUUGGAAUUGAUGAUUUAGUACAUUUUGACUUUAUGGAUCCUCCAGCACCGGAAACUCUUAUGAGGGCUUUAGAAGUUUUGAACUACUUGGGGGCACUUGAUGAUGACGGUAAUCUAACACAGUUAGGUGAAAUGAUGAGCGAGUUUCCCCUGGAUCCACAAAUGUCAAAGAUGCUUGUCAUCAGUCCAAAGUACAACUGUUCGAAUGAGAUCCUAUCAAUAUCUGCCAUGCUUUCAGGUAUGUCAACUUCAGGUCACCAAAUUGUAUUUCUACAAAUGAAUUAUUACGCUUAUCUGGACUGCUUUGCUUUUCAAUGUUGUUCAAGCAAAGUGCCAGUUUUUCUUGUGCACAUAUGGCUGUCAUCAGCAACUGUCAUUCACCUGGCUUCUUGAGCUAUUGGUCGAAAUGAUCAUACAGUUUAGGCUGAUGCAGAUAGUUGCUGUUUGUUGAGUACGUCUCGCCUCUUUGCAUCUGCUGACCACCGUGGACUUCGUCUGUUAUUACUAUAUUCUUUCUCUAGUACCCAAUUGCUUCCUCCGGCCUAGGGAGGCUCAAAAGGCUGCUGAUGAGGCGAAGGCUCGGUUUGGCCAUAUUGAUGGGGACCAUCUCACGCUUCUGAAUGUAUACCACGCAUACAAGCAAAACAAUGAAGAUCCCCAGUGGUGUUACGAGAACUUUAUCAAUGCCAGAGCACUUAAGUCUGCGGACAACGUCAGACAACAGCUUGUUCGCAUCAUGACUAGAUUCAAUCUCAAGAUGUGCAGCACAGACUUCAAUAGCCGUGAGUACUAUGUCAAUAUCAGGAAAGCACUGCUUGCAGGGUAUUUCAUGCAGGUUGCUCACCUGGAGCGCACUGGACAUUACCUGACUGUAAAAGAUAAUCAGGUCGUCCAUCUUCAUCCCUCAAACUGCAUGGACCAUAAGCCAGAGUGGGUCAUCUACAACGAAUACGUCCUGACAACUAGGAAUUUCAUCCGCACAGUCACAGAUAUCCGUGGGGAAUGGCUGAUUGAUAUCGCUCCACACUACUAUGAUCUGAGCAACUUCCCGUCAUGCGAGGCGAAGCGUGUUCUUGAGAGGCUGUAUAACAAGCGGGAGAGGGAAAGGGCCACGAACAGAGGUUGAAGAUGAUGCUUCUUUUUUGCCCGGUGCCAGUGAUUGUGCUGCCAGUUAAGGGCCAGAGCCAGAACUCAAGUGAAGCCUUUGCCGCGUCCACCCUGAUACAUCUUGCCAUCUAGGCCCCCACCAUAAGUAGGCACCACAUUUCAUCAGCUUGGUGAUUAUUUUGUAAGAAUUAUCAAAUGUUUGCUGAUGCAACUGUGUAACAGCGUCGAGGUUAUAUCUUUGUUUUUCUUCUCUUAGAAAGGUAGUGCAGAUUGAUCGGGUAUCUGUCUCCGUAUAAAUGCGGAGAAGACUUUCAUUUUCUUAUUUUUGCCAUUUUGUACCCGGUUUCAAUGAGAACAUGCUGAUAUAUGUUCGUAGUUUUAGCUCUUAUGCAAACAUUUCCUGGUUUUUCCUCUUUUC
Panicum virgatum (switchgrass) is the source of this 3061-nucleotide RNA transcript. It is a transcript of the gene named probable pre-mRNA-splicing factor ATP-dependent RNA helicase DEAH2, with no coding region annotated. The record is from RefSeq and is a predicted model, not a curated record. NCBI's taxonomy places the organism in Eukaryota, Viridiplantae, Streptophyta, Magnoliopsida, Poales, Poaceae. The transcript is spliced from 6 exons.